GUGCUUGUUUCUUCAGCACAUAAACUAAAAUUGGAAUGAUACAGAGAAGAUUAGCACGGCCCCUGUGCAAAGAUGACAUGCAAAUUCAUGCAGCGUUCCUAUUUUUU
Molecule: small nuclear RNA, 107 nt
Organism: Tupaia belangeri (northern tree shrew)
Lineage: Eukaryota; Metazoa; Chordata; Mammalia; Scandentia; Tupaiidae
Source: Ensembl